AUAAUAUAUACGACUUAGCGAAUACUAGUAAAACAGGUGCUGUUUGAAUCUGCCUGAUUCCAGCCUUGCUGAAGCACCCCCAGAUCAUCGCCAAUCAAACCAAAUUUCACAGUGGGUGUGAGACAUUGUGGCAUUUAGGCCACUCCAUGGGGCCCAUUUAUCAAAGGGCUUGCGGACCUGAUCCGACACUGCGGAUCAGGUCCGCAAGACCUCGCUAAAUGCGGAGAGCAAUACGCUCUCCGCAUUUAACAUUGCACCAGCAGCUCACAAGAGCUGCUGGUGCAAUGCCGCCCCCUGUCUGAAGACUCGCCAGAAACACGGCCCUUCAAGCUCCGUACGGAGCUUGAUAAAUGGGCCUGCAUGUCUUUGUCUAACCAUUAAACAACCAGAUGUUGGCCAAAGCUGAAAAUUGGACUCAUCACAGAAGAUCACCUGGAAUUGGGCAGAUUUAUCUUUGUGAAGGAUGCAUGAAUCAAGCCAUGAACAAGGUUAUCCUGGAAGAAAAGUUGCUUCCUUCUGCUCUGACAAUGUUCCCAAACUCUGUAACCUCUGUAAUGUGAUCAAGAGAAAGAUGGAUGGUCACAAACCAUCAAGCAAAGCCAAGCUGCUUAAUUAUUUGAGCCAGGAUUGGCAUAAAGUCACCCAACAACAAUGUGAAAGACUGGCGGAGAGCAUGCUUAGAUGCAUGAAAGCUGUUAUUCCACCAAAUAUUGAUUUGUUAAGUUAAAACAGUAUUGUAUUGUUUAAAAAUAAAUAUGAACUUGUUUUCUUUGCAUUA
Molecule: long non-coding RNA, 778 nt
Organism: Bombina bombina (fire-bellied toad)
Lineage: Eukaryota; Metazoa; Chordata; Amphibia; Anura; Bombinatoridae
Exons: 2
Source: RefSeq, a predicted model, not a curated record